GGGGAAUAUUGCACAAUGGGCGAAAGCCUGAUGCAGCGACGCCGCGUGGAGGAUGAAGGCCUUCGGGUCGUAAACUCCUGUCUGGGGGGAUGAACACUGACAGUACCCCCGGAGGAAGCCCCGGCUAACUACGUGCCAGCAGCCGCGGUAAUACGUAGGGGGCGAGCGUUGUCCGGAAUUACUGGGCGUAAAGCGCGCGCAGGCGGCUUGUUAAGUCAGGUGUCAAAAUGCGGGGCUCAACCCCGUAUCGCACUUGAAACUGGCAGGCUUGAGUGCAGGAGAGGGAAGUGGAAUUCCUAGUGUAGCGGUGAAAUGCGUAGAUAUUAGGAGGAACACCAGUGGCGAAGGCGACUUCCUGGACUGUAACUGACGCUCAGGCGCGAAAGCUAGGGGAGCAAAC
RNAcentral lists this ribosomal RNA (400 nucleotides) under uncultured bacterium. Its description in RNAcentral is "bacterial SSU rRNA". It matches the Rfam family "Bacterial small subunit ribosomal RNA", at positions 356 to 773 of the family's 1533-position model. The record is from RNAcentral.